RNAcentral lists this unclassified non-coding RNA (444 nucleotides) under soil metagenome. RNAcentral describes it as "partial contains 5.8S ribosomal RNA, internal transcribed spacer 2, and large subunit ribosomal RNA". The stretch from base 1 to 120 matches the Rfam family "5.8S ribosomal RNA", at positions 35 to 154 of the family's 154-position model. The record is from RNAcentral.
GAUGAAGAACGCAGCGAAAUGCGAUAAGUAAUGUGAAUUGCAGAAUUCCGUGAAUCAUUAAAUCUUUGAACGCACAUUGCGCUCUUUGGUAUUCCGAAGAGCAUAUCUGUUUGAGAAUCAGUUUAACUCUCAAUCCUUUAUUGAUGUUUUUUAUUAAACUGAUUUGAAGAGUUGGAUUUGGCUUUUUUUAUUGAACUUUUUAAGUUUGAUUAAGCUUAAACUGAUUUCGGUUAUAGUUGCUUAAUUUAAUCAAUUGUUAACCCCGAAAGCAUGACCAAUGAACGCAAGUUCUAAUUGAUUGCUGAUAACGGGUCAAUAAUUGUGAGAAGUAAACUUUUAAUUGAUUAAAAUUUCACACGAAGAAAUGUAAAAACUUUCUUUAAGACUUGAUCUCAAAUCAGAUAAGACUACCCGCUGAACUUAAGCAUAUCAAUAAGCGGAGGA